GGGGCCGGGAUGGAAGACUGGGAUGGGAUGUAAUGGGGCCCCAGCAGCAUGUUGCCAGGCAGUGCUGUACAGGAGCCUCCAGCUCCCGCCUGACCCUGCUGCAAUUUCCCCAGCUGAUGGCUUUCAGCAGGAUCUCAGGCUCCUUUGAGGAGGAUGGUGUGGAGGGAAGGCAAAUAACAGGGCCAUUAGGGGAUCUGGCGGAGAGGGAGGAGAAAUUAAAUGGGAGCACUCUGAAGGGAAUGAACAAAAACUGUGGGGAAUGGAUUAAAUAUUCAGAGAAGUUAUUCAUGGAGACUGGGCCAUGCAAUUGGGCAUGCUGUUGGAUCAGAUGUGCAAAUUGAGCUGGUACUUUGUGGGAUGGCUCCAUGCAAUUUCUCUCUCAUGCGUUUUCUGUUUAAGAACAACCAUAGGAAAAUUUUGCUGCUUUGCUGACCGAGGCGUAGGGAGAAAAACUUUCUGUGUAUUGAGCUGUACCACGAACGUCCGAAGAACAGCAGGGAGCAGGCUGUUAGGCAAAUCGGAGCUGGGACAUUCGGCUGUGAUGCAGCUCUCUCACACCAGUCCUUUGACCACGGCUGUUAUUGCACCUGCAUAGGGAGGCUGCAACUUCAAAGGCAACACAUGAAAGGGAGAAAAACCCCAGUAAAUUUAGGGAUUUGAUUAUUUGUGUAAAUCAUCAUAGAUACGACAUCUUUCUUUGAUGUAGCCAGCGCAGCAAAAGGUUGGAAGGUCAUACUUGAAUGUAAACUGCUUUCCAGCUCCAGCACUUGAAUGUAAACUGCUUUCCAGCUCCAGCAUUGAUCCUCCUCCAGAGCAAGGUUCUGCUGCUGUGGUUUCCCCCCUCGUUCCUCCCCACUUCCAGAGUUUCCAUACAGAGCUCCUGCUCAUUUAUUACUUAUGCAUCUUCUGGAGAGAGCAGUCCCAAGAGAUGCUGAUGAACAGCCCAGUCUCUCUUUUGGCAUCCUCAGGGCUUCAAACUAACCCUCCAAAUAUGAAUUAUAAGGAUAUUUCAAUGAAGCUUCAAUGUGCAUGCUGAAAUCUCCUGAGAACUGAGCUAGAGGCACCACAAUAAAGUGAUGGGUUUUCCAAAAUCAGGUUCCUGCUGGAAACAGGUGCCCUGAACCUGGGAGAUGCAAACUGGGCUCCUCUCUGUGCUUACAGGCAGCCCAAUGCUGAAUGUCACUCUGAUCUCCAGACUCACCCAGAUCAGAGGGAGCAUAUUGCUUUUAAAUCAAUAAAUGGUAAAUUAAAAAGCUUGGCAUUCAGAACUUUACAUUAAAAGUAUCUGCUGUUUUAAUCACACUUGAUCAAGAUAACUGUAGCUCAUUUGCUUGCACUAAUUAGCUGGGGCACUGUUAUCAGUGUCUACCAAAUAACGUAGUGUUCUAUCUAGGAAAAGUCUGCAUUAAAGGAACUGGGUAAAAUCCCACAUUGCUGGUC
Hirundo rustica (Barn swallow) is the source of this 1440-nucleotide long non-coding RNA. RefSeq lists it as uncharacterized. NCBI's taxonomy places the organism in Eukaryota, Metazoa, Chordata, Aves, Passeriformes, Hirundinidae. The record is from RefSeq and is a predicted model, not a curated record. The transcript has 3 exons.